AGAAUGAACGCUAGCGAUAUGCUUAACACAUGCAAGUUGAACGUUGUUUUCGAAUCAGAAUGAGAACAAAGUAGCGAACGGGUGCGUAACACGUGGGAAUCUGCCGAACAGUUUGGGCCAAAUCCCGAAUGAAUAAAAGCUAAAAAGCGCUGUUUGAUGAGCCCACGUAGUAUUAGGUAGUUGGUUAGGUAAAAGCUGACCAAGCCUACGAUGCUUAGCUGGUCUUUUCGGAUGAUCAGCCACACUGGGACUGAGACACGGCCCAGACUCCUACGGGAGGCAGCAGUGGGGAAUCUUGGACAAUGGGCGAAAGGCCUGAUCCGGCAAUAUGGCGUGAGUGAAGAAGGGCAACGCAGCUUGUAAAGCUCUUUCAUCGAGUGUGCGAUUGUGACAAGACUCGAAUAAGAAGCCCCGGCUAACUCCGUGCCAGCAGCCGC
Molecule: ribosomal RNA, 437 nt
Filed under: uncultured bacterium
Lineage: Bacteria
Description: SSU rRNA
Rfam family: Bacterial small subunit ribosomal RNA
Source: RNAcentral